UGAGGAAUAUUGGGCAAUGCCCGCAAGGGUGACCCAGCAACGCCGCGUGGAGGAUGAAUGUCGUAAGAUUGUAAACUCCUGUUAGAGGGGAAGAAUAGUACCGGUUGGACCGGUAUAUGACUGUACCCUCAGAGAAAGCCCCGGCUAACUACGUGCCAGCAGCCGCGGUAAUACGUAGGGGGCAAGCGUUGUCCGGAUUUACUGGGUGUAAAGGGCGCGCAGGCGGAAUGGAAAGUCAGUGGUGAAAUCCUACAGCUUAACUGUAGAACUGCCUUUGAUACUUUCAUUCUUGAGUUCGGGAGAGAGAGACGGAAUUCCAGGUGUAGUGGUGAAAUACGUAGAUAUCUGGAAGAACACCAGUUGCGAAGGCGGUCUCUUGGUCCGAUACUGACGCUGAGGCGCGAAAGCGUGGGGAGCAAACA
Molecule: ribosomal RNA, 422 nt
Filed under: uncultured bacterium
Lineage: Bacteria
Description: bacterial SSU rRNA
Rfam family: Bacterial small subunit ribosomal RNA
Source: RNAcentral